UACGUAGGGUCCGAGCGUUGCCCGGAAUUAUUGGGCGUAAAGGGUUCGUAGGCGGUCUGUUGCGUCGGGAGUGAAAACUUACAGCUUAACUGUGAGCGUGCUUUCGAUACGGGCAGACUUGAGGCAUUCAGGGGAGAACGGAAUUCCUGGUGUAGCGGUGAAAUGCGCAGAUAUCAGGAGGAACACCGGUGGCGAAGGCGGUUCUCUGGGAAUGUCCUGACGCUGAGGAGCGAAAGUGUGGGGAGCGAACAGG
RNAcentral lists this ribosomal RNA (253 nucleotides) under uncultured bacterium. RNAcentral's name for it is "partial 16S ribosomal RNA". It matches the Rfam family "Bacterial small subunit ribosomal RNA", at positions 524 to 776 of the family's 1533-position model. The record is from RNAcentral.